This is a long non-coding RNA of Anguilla rostrata (American eel), 496 nucleotides long. RefSeq lists it as uncharacterized. The transcript is spliced from 2 exons. Lineage: Eukaryota; Metazoa; Chordata; Actinopteri; Anguilliformes; Anguillidae. The record is from RefSeq and is a predicted model, not a curated record.
GUCUGUGUGCGGAGAGCCGGGUCUGUGUGUGCGGAGAGCUGGGUCUGUGUGUGCGGAGAGCUGGGUCUGUGUGUGCGGAGAGCCGGGUCUGUGUGUGCGGAGAGCCGGGUCUGUGUGUGCGGAGAGCUGGCGCUGCUCCUGGCUUACACCAAAUACAGGCCAAACAUAUUAGGCCACCUGUAGGUUUUUAUUUACAUAUAUAACAAUUCAGUGUCUAAAUAAGUUCACUUGUAUUGAAUAGCAGACCUACAAAACUAAGCUUAACUCCUUCUUUGCCAUAUUUCUUGCAGCUUUAGUGUCUAUUUUACUUCUUCUACAGAUCAAAGGUAUUAGGUUACCUGUGGUUUUAAAAAACUUAAGUUAGAUAAGAUUUUUGUCAGUUUAACUACCCUUGACCUCCUGCCCACCCCUCCACCACCAAUUUUGCAAAAUGAAGGAGGCUAUUUUGAGGAAUGUUGUAUGUUGUUCUGCUAUUCAGUAAAUGCAUUUAAAUUAA